This 21-nucleotide microRNA is filed under the name Brachypodium distachyon (stiff brome). Its description in RNAcentral is "bdi-miR7757-5p.2". Lineage: Eukaryota; Viridiplantae; Streptophyta; Magnoliopsida; Poales; Poaceae. The record is from miRBase by way of RNAcentral.
CUUCCAUAUCAAAUCAUCUCU